UAGAAAAUACGAGUUUACACUCAUCAACCCUGUGAACAUACCUAAAACGUUGCCUCGGCGGGAACAGACGGCCCCGUAACACGGGCCGCCCCCGCCAGAGGACCCCCUAACUCUGUUUCUAUAAUGUUUCUUCUGAGUAAACAAGCAAAUAAAUUAAAACUUUCAACAACGGAUCUCUUGGCUCUGGCAUCGAUGAAGAACGCAGCGAAAUGCGAUAAGUAAUGUGAAUUGCAGAAUUCAGUGAAUCAUCGAAUCUUUGAACGCACAUUGCGCCCGCCAGUAUUCUGGCGGGCAUGCCUGUUCGAGCGUCAUUACAACCCUCAGGCCCCCGGGCCUGGCGUUGGGGAUCGGCGGAAGCCCCCUGCGGGCACAACGCCGUCCCCCAAAUACAGUGGCGGUCCCGCCGCAGCUUCCAUUGCGUAGUAGCUAACACCUCGCAACUGGAGAGCGGCGCGGCCACGCCGUAAAACACCCAACUUCUGAAUGUUGACCUCGAAUCAGGUAGGAAUACCCGCUGAACUUAAGCAUAUCAAUAAGCCGGGAGGAA
Molecule: ribosomal RNA, 547 nt
Filed under: Fusarium solani
Lineage: Eukaryota; Fungi; Ascomycota; Sordariomycetes; Hypocreales; Nectriaceae
Description: eukaryotic LSU rRNA
Rfam family: 5.8S ribosomal RNA (bases 158-311)
Source: RNAcentral